AGUGAACGCUGGCGGCGUGCUAAUACAUGCAAGUCGAACGGAAUUUAAAAGAGCUUGCUCUUUUGAAUUUAGUGGCGCACGGGUGAGUAAUAUAUAGCUAAUCUGCCCCUUGCUGGAGGACAACAGUUAGAAAUGACUGCUAAUACUCCAUACUCCUUUUUACCAUAAGAUAAAUCGGGAAAGAAUUUCGGCAAGGGAUGAGACUAUAUCGUAUCAGCUAGUCGGUGGGGUAACGGCCUACCGAGGCCAUGACGCGUAACUGGUCUGAGAGGAUGAUCAGUCACAUUGGAACUGAGACACGGUCCAAACUCCUACGGGAGGCAGCAGUAGGGAAUAUUGCGCAAUGGGGGAAACCCUGACGCAGCAACGCCGCGUGGAGGAUGACACUUUUCGGAGCGUAAACUCCUUUUGUUAGGGAAGAAUAAUGACGGUACCUAACGAAUAAGCACCGGCUAA
RNAcentral lists this ribosomal RNA (456 nucleotides) under Campylobacter gracilis. Its description in RNAcentral is "bacterial SSU rRNA". It matches the Rfam family "Bacterial small subunit ribosomal RNA", at positions 29 to 500 of the family's 1533-position model. Lineage: Bacteria; Pseudomonadati; Campylobacterota; Epsilonproteobacteria; Campylobacterales; Campylobacteraceae. The record is from RNAcentral.